RNAcentral lists this transfer RNA (84 nucleotides) under Fidelibacterota bacterium CG1_02_48_14. RNAcentral describes it as "Candidatus Marinimicrobia bacterium CG1_02_48_14 tRNA-Leu". It matches the Rfam family "tRNA". From Rfam's summary of the family: Transfer RNA (tRNA) molecules are approximately 80 nucleotides in length. Their secondary structure includes four short double-helical elements and three loops (D, anti-codon, and T loops). Further hydrogen bonds mediate the characteristic L-shaped molecular structure. tRNAs have two regions of fundamental functional importance: the anti-codon, which is responsible for specific mRNA codon recognition, and the 3' end, to which the tRNAs corresponding amino acid is attached (by aminoacyl-tRNA synthetases). tRNAs cope with the degeneracy of the genetic code in two manners: having more than one tRNA (with a specific anti-codon) for a particular amino acid; and 'wobble' base-pairing, i.e. permitting non-standard base-pairing at the 3rd anti-codon position. Lineage: Bacteria; Pseudomonadati; Fidelibacterota. RNAcentral also lists the same sequence under 3 other names. The record is from RNAcentral.
GCCAGAGUGGCGGAAUUGGUAGACGCAGUGGACUCAAAAUCCACCGAUCUUCGGAUCUUGAGAGUUCGAGUCUCUCCUCUGGUA